Long non-coding RNA from Malaclemys terrapin pileata, 4213 nucleotides. RefSeq lists it as uncharacterized. The record is from RefSeq and is a predicted model, not a curated record. The transcript has 2 exons. NCBI's taxonomy places the organism in Eukaryota, Metazoa, Chordata, Testudines, Emydidae.
CAGGAGGAGGAAGCCGCAGCGGUUCCGGGCACAGAUCGCGUUGCCCGGAGCCUGCAGCCGCCGCCGGCAGAAGCGUCCGGCGGAGGGGCCGGACCGGAGGGGCGGCGCUGGGAAGAUCUGCAGUCGCCCAGAGAACUGAGCUGGGGCCGAGCCCGUUGGCCUGGGUCGGCGUGCCCUGUGGAUGGGCGUGGUACAGAUUUGCUGCUAGCACAGACUUAGCUCCCUCUGCCGUAGUUUGCCACGUGGCUGGAGGCACCGCAGCAAGAGAGGACCUGUGAGAGCUCGUCUUGCCUUGGGGGAACAUGCAGCGCGGUGGCAUCACUGUUGAGAACCCCUACGCCAGCGUGAAUAUUCCGCGAGGUCAGCUCGAGAACAGCUUCAUUAAGCGCUACCUGGGGGAGGAGCAGCCCUCGCCCACUGUCAUUGUUAAUCCUGGGGCCGUGCCCACCUACCCAGCCCCAGAGCAGCUGAAUGGGGCCAGUAAAUCGGUGCCACUGGAUAGUUGGGAUGGUUCAAAAGUCCUGACGCGGGAGUCCUGGGCCCAGCAGUAUAACCCUUACGCCAGCCUGAAGCUGCUGAACGGCGCUUCCUCCGCCCCGCUCUACACCAUCGAGCUAGACAAGCACCAGAAGAGUCCUGAGGUGGGCACGGACAGUGGCUGCUGCUGCUGUAAGUACUGCCCCUGCUGCCGGAAAUGCGGCUGUGUCGUCUCCUAACCCCACGAGCUCUGACCCCUGGCCACACCCAGGCUGUCGGCCUGAGCCAGCCUCCUUAAGGAGCUGGGAUCCUGCUGGUAGAACUGCAGCCAGCGGGCUGGGAUGGACAGCCCCUGAGCUAUGGUGCCCAUCCUAGCAGGAACUGUGGGGCGCCUCUGGGGGCGAGCGGAGCCAACGGCAGCCUUGCAGUCUCCUGAGACUCUGAGUGAUCUUUGGCUCUCUCGGGGCGUGGGGAGGGGGUGUGACUAUAUUUGCCCUGGUGGCAGGGCGGCUUUCUAGACCUUGUUUAUCCUACGGAAAGUGAGCUCAGGUGCCAUGGUGAUGGGCACGUAGCAGUGAUGUGCUGCCAGGAUCGUGGCCAGGCCUCGGGGGAGUUUCAAGACAUGCUGAUGAAGCCUGGAGUGCCUCGUGCAGUGCCCUGUGGUGGAAACCCGACCGCUUGCUCCCACUUACUGUCUGGCUGGGAAACAGCCCUGAUGCAACAGGCCGUGCAGCUGUGCUGACCCCCACGCAGACAAAGACAUGCCCCGGUUUCACCCAUUGGAGAAGCAAGGGGGGGCCUGAGCAGUGUUUCAUGGGUGCUUGUGGAUUCUCACUGCCCCUCCCCGUGGCUGAGGCAUGCUGGGAACAGUCUCGUUUAGCUGCAAAGGCUGCGUGCCUCUUGAUCGUGCGGGGAAGUGGCCUUGCAAACCAAGGCCUUGUCUACAUACAACAGUCAUGGUUCAUGUGGUACAAUUCUCUAGUGUGGCUGCAGCUAGACCGAGGGAAAGGUGCUCAGACUGGUCUAGCAUCUGGUAGGGGAAGGGAAUGAGCUCUACUGGUAUGAAGCACCUGGAUCCUGCUCUAGCUGUGUCCACGCUAGGACUUGGGCUGGUAGAACGGGGUAGGGAACGCUCACCCCUGACCCACACGGCUGAGAGGUACAAACUCAGUUUGCUAAGCAGGCUGGAAUGAGGAUCCUGCCAGUCCCUGCCUGCUCGCCCUCUGGACAAAAGAAGGAAACACACCCAGGGCAAACAAACAAACCAAGCAGCUUGGAGAAUGUGCUGGGCUCUGUUCUGGGGAUGUGCCAUGGCUGGACACACUGGCCUCUGGGUCUGAACUCACAGUGGGAGGAGACUGUUCUGGCACCUCACCCCCCUCGGUGCUGGCAGGAGCUGCUUUCCAGGGCUUGGGUGGCCUGCUGUCCCUGCAGUGCAGGCAGGGGCUGUGCCCUUGUACCCCCAGCUUGGUCUGGAGAGGGGGCAGCAGGCCAGCCCUGCUCUACGUGAGCAGCAGGGCCUGGCCAGUGCCCGGCGGUUGGUGUUAGUGCCAGUGCUGCUGUGGGACUAGUGCAGGCUGCAGAGGAGGGUUCAGAAUGAAAUGGGGACGGGAGGGGAAGGGAAGGAGUGGGACAAGGGGUGUGGAGUCCUCUAGGUCCCAGUCAGCUGUGCAGGACCUGCCAGACUCCAAGCCACUGGGGUUGUCAGAUGGCCAGGAAUAGGGUGUAAUGAAGUUAUUGGGUCUGCUCCCUUGGGGGAGUUUCUAAAGCAGAAGCCGCAGCCCUGAUGUGGGGGGCAGGGCCAUGGGGAGUAGCGGUGCUGUCCUCUGCACGGGCAGAGGGGCGCCAGCUGGUUGGGUAAUGAGCAAGGGGAAUGAGACAGCACCUCUCUGCCCUUUACGCCGGGUGCCCCUUCCCAUGCACUGCAGCUGGCUGAUUGCUGCUCAGUCCCUCUGCAGCUUGUCAGUGUCGCCCCAGACUUGGCUUUCCUGCCAGGUGUCAUGCGUGCUCUGUGCAAGGCCAAGUGGUUUGCAUGUGAAACCUGAACCAGACCCACUGUUGUCCUUCAUAAACAGCCCCAUGCAGCGCUGGUGCCGGCUCCGACCUGCCUCACAGGUGAGUUUCUGCCCUAGACAAGGGGUGUUUCUCUUGCAGCAGCUGCACUGUGUAAGUGCUGGCACAGCCGGGGCCCAGGGGGCUUGGGGCACAGUGGUAAAACUCCCUGAGCCCUGUGCUAGCGCUUACCCCAUUGCUAGACCUGCUGCAUCACUCCUCGAGAGCAGCCGGGCCACUGUCUCUGGGGCAGGUGCCCUGACUGAGUAGUGCAGCAGGACGGGGCAGGGACCAUGCCCAGGGUCCUGUGUGCAGAGAUUCUAACCGUUGUGUAGCUGGGUAGAAUUCAGCUUUUAUUUGUCUGUGAUCUCUACGGAGAGUAUCAAAGUUUAUUUUUAAGAAUAUUUUUAGUUUUAUUGAUUUCAGUUUUCACAGUAGGGGAAGUUAUUGGAGAGUCAGAAAAUGGAGGGUCGGACAAUUAUUUAAAGACCGUAGACGAUGAUAUUCAAAAAGUUAAAGAUUUAAAACCAUUAAAACACAAACUCUCAAAGUAUACAAAGGAAGUAGGCAAUGUAAGAAAAAUGCUGCUUUGAUAUAAGGCGAUCUGUAAAUUUGGGGUAUUCUCAAUGGAAACAGUUUUUGGUCAUUUGGGUGUGUAUGGUGAAAUCGAUGUUCAUGGAUAUUUACCGAUAAAAGUCGAAUCCUUCCAACCCUACCUUGAUGAUUAUAAAGAAAACCUUCCCCGUGAGGGCUCGCUGUAAGACAGCCUGAAACAAUCGUUCUGAGAGGUGUGAACAGCCCGGCCCACCCUCUUGAUGUGUGUUGACUCAAACCUAAUGAUGUCAGCAUUUUAACUAUAUCACUGCUGAUCCCUGUAGCAGAAACUCACGGCUCAUUUUUGCUCACUCUAACCCUAGCUGCCUCCCAGACAUCCCCAGGUACCAAAAGCUCCCACUGUCUCCUGCCCAGCUGCCAGAACUUCCCCCUGCCAACAUCCAGCCCAGAACUCUGCAGCAGGGGACAGUGUCAGCUCCAUGGCCUGGAAUGUCACUGGGACGCUGGGCGUACAGUCCAGGGGGGUGGGGUUCCAUGGGUGGGACCAAGGAGCCAUGCUGCAGAGCUCCAGCUCGUUGUGGCCUUCACCCAAGUGCAUUGAGCCAUGAUUGCCCGCAAGGAGUGACCCAGGAGCCCGUCUGCCUCUUGUCCCUCAGCUGCGUUGCUCCCCCCUUGAGGUGAUCUAGAGCAAUAGGCCAGUUGUACUCCAACUAGUGCCUCCAAAGGCCAAUUUGUCCCUUGCCAGGCGAGUGUGAACGCUCCGUGCAUCGUCGCCGGUCCCUGGAUCACAAGCUGCAGUGUAAAGAGCGUUGCAUGGGGUGUCCAGCCCCCAGCUCUGAUGGAAGCUGCAGCGUGUGCCUCCCAUAGACCCCCAAGUGAGGCCUGUGGCUUGCCUGCCGGGGUGCCAUGCAGCCGCGUAGCCAGGACUGGAUGCUGCUGCUGCCAGCUCUGCAUGGAUUCAAUGGGCAUUGUGUGCACAUGGCUACAGGACUGCCCUGGCUGGGACAGCGGCAGAGGUUCUGUCUAUAACACGGCUGUGGGAGGGCCCAGUUCCCAGCAGGGCUCACCCUGGCGUUUCCUGGUGCCCCUGUCACUGUUGCUGUGAAUAAAGUAAUUUGACCAGUGUCCA